Molecule: small nucleolar RNA, 104 nt
Organism: Macaca fascicularis (crab-eating macaque)
Lineage: Eukaryota; Metazoa; Chordata; Mammalia; Primates; Cercopithecidae
Source: Ensembl
GUCCUUUUGUAGUUCAUGAACGUGAUGACUGGGUUUCCACGCACAUGUGUGAGAUGGGCCUCCCUCAAACCUUGUUGUGUCAUUGGCACAUUACCUGUCCAAUG